AGCGAACGCUGGCGGCAGGCCUAACACAUGCAAGUCGAACGAACUCUUCGGAGUUAGUGGCGGACGGGUGAGUAACACGUGGGAACGUGCCUUUUGGUUCGGAAUAACUCAGGGAAACUUGUGCUAAUACCGAAUGUGCCCUUCGGGGGAAAGGUUUAUCGCCAUUAGAGCGGCCCGCGUCUGAUUAGCUAGUUGGUGAGGUAACGGCUCACCAAGGCGACGAUCAGUAGCUGGUCUGAGAGGAUGACCAGCCACACUGGGACUGAGGCACGGCCCAGACUCCUACGGGAGGCAGCAGUGGGGAAUCUUGCGCAAUGGGCGAAAGCCUGACGCAGCCAUGCCGCGUGAAUGAUGAAGGUCUUAGGAUUGUAAAAUUCUUUCACCGGGGACGAUAAUGACGGUACCCGGAGAAGAAGCCCCGGCUAACUUCGUG
RNAcentral lists this ribosomal RNA (433 nucleotides) under uncultured bacterium. Its description in RNAcentral is "partial 16S ribosomal RNA". It matches the Rfam family "Bacterial small subunit ribosomal RNA", at positions 29 to 507 of the family's 1533-position model. The record is from RNAcentral.